RNAcentral lists this ribosomal RNA (303 nucleotides) under Bacillus sp. B29S. Its description in RNAcentral is "bacterial SSU rRNA". It matches the Rfam family "Bacterial small subunit ribosomal RNA", at positions 60 to 355 of the family's 1533-position model. The record is from RNAcentral. Lineage: Bacteria; Bacillati; Bacillota; Bacilli; Caryophanales; Bacillaceae.
AGUCGAGCGGACUUAAAAAGCUUGCUUUUUAAGUUAGCGGCGGACGGGUGAGUAACACGUGGGCAACCUGCCUGUAAGACUGGGAUAACUUCGGGAAACCGGAGCUAAUACCGGAUAAUCCUUUCCUACUCAUGUAGGAAAGCUGAAAGACGGUUUACGCUGUCACUUACAGAUGGGCCCGCGGCGCAUUAGCUAGUUGGUGAGGUAACGGCUCACCAAGGCGACGAUGCGUAGCCGACCUGAGAGGGUGAUCGGCCACACUGGGACUGAGACACGGCCCAGACUCCUACGGGAGGCAGCAGU